CAGCCGCCGCGGUAAUACAGAGGGUGCGAGCGUUAAUCGGAUUUACUGGGCGUAAAGCGUGCGUAGGCGGCUUUUUAAGUCGGAUGUGAAAUCCCUGAGCUUAACUUAGGAAUUGCAUUCUAUACUGGGAAGCUAGAGUAUGGGAGAGGAUGGUAGAAUUCCAGGUGUAGCGGUGAAAUGCGUAGAGAUCUGGAGGAAUACCGAUGGCGAAGGCAGCCAUCUGGCCUAAUACUGACGCUGAGGUACGAAAGCAUGGGGAGCAAACAGGAUUAGAUACCCCCGUAGUCCCUGUCUCUUAUAC
RNAcentral lists this ribosomal RNA (301 nucleotides) under uncultured bacterium. RNAcentral describes it as "partial 16S ribosomal RNA". It matches the Rfam family "Bacterial small subunit ribosomal RNA", at positions 509 to 807 of the family's 1533-position model. The record is from RNAcentral.